GACGAACGCUGGCGGCGUGCCUAAUACAUGCAAGUCGAACGCUUCUUUUUCCACCGGAGCUUGCUCCACCGGAAAAAGAGGAGUGGCGAACGGGUGAGUAACACGUGGGUAACCUGCCCAUCAGAAGGGGAUAACACUUGGAAACAGGUGCUAAUACCGUAUAACAAUCGAAACCGCAUGGUUUUGAUUUGAAAGGCGCUUUCGGGUGUCGCUGAUGGAUGGACCCGCGGUGCAUUAGCUAGUUGGUGAGGUAACGGCUCACCAAGGCCACGAGGCAUAGCCGACCUGAGAGGGGGAUCGGCCACAUUGGGACUGAGACACGGCCCAAACUCCUACGGGAGGCGGCAGUAGGGAAUCUUCGGCAAUGGACGAAAGUCUGACCGAGCAACGCCGCGUGAGUGAAGAAGGUUUUCGGAUCGUAAAACUCUGUUGUUAGAGAAGAACAAGGAUGAGAGUAACUGUUCAUCCCUUGACGGUAUCUAACCAGAAAGCCACGGCUAACUACGUGCCAGCAGCCGCCGCGG
This 524-nucleotide ribosomal RNA is filed under the name uncultured bacterium. RNAcentral's name for it is "partial 16S ribosomal RNA". It matches the Rfam family "Bacterial small subunit ribosomal RNA", at positions 28 to 523 of the family's 1533-position model. The record is from RNAcentral.